GGACAACCUACUCUUAGGACCGGGAUAACCCCGGGAAACUGGGGACAAUCCCGGAUAGGUGAAGUGGCCUGGAAUGGUACUUCACUGAAAGGCUCUUCGGAGCGCCUAAGGAUGGGUCUGCGGCCGAUUAGGUAGUUGGUAGGGUAACGGCCUACCAAGCCGAUAAUCGGUACGGGUUGUGAGAGCAAGAGCCCGGAGAUGGAACCUGAGACAAGGUUCCAGGCCCUACGGGGCGCAGCAGGCGCGAAACCUCCGCAAUGCACGCAAGUGCGACGGGGGGACCCCAAGUGCCACUUUUAACGGGGUGGCUUUUCAGGAGUGUAAAAAGCUCCUGGAAUAAGGGCUGGGCAAGACCGGUGCCAGCCGCCGCGGUAACACCGGCAGCUCGAGUGGUAGCCGCGUUUAUUGGGCCUAAAGCGUCCGUAGCCGGUCCGAUAAGUCUCUGGUGAAAGCCCACAGCUCAACUGUGGGAAUCGCUGGAGAUACUAUCGGACUUGAGGCCGGGAGAGGCUGGAGGUACUCCCAGGGUAGGGGUGAAAUCCUAUAAUCCUGGGAGGACCACCUGUGGCGAAGGCGUCCAGCUGGAACGGACCUGACGGUGAGGGACGAAAGCCAGGGGCGCGAACCGGAUUAGAUACCCGGGUAGUCCUGGCCGUAAACGAUGCGGACUUGGUGUUGGGACGGCUUUGAGCUGUCCCAGUGCCGAAAGGGAAGCUGUUAAGUCCGCCGCCUGGGAAGUACGGCCGCAAGGCUGAAACU
Molecule: ribosomal RNA, 759 nt
Filed under: Methanothermobacter sp. enrichment culture
Lineage: Archaea; Methanobacteriati; Methanobacteriota; Methanobacteria; Methanobacteriales; Methanobacteriaceae
Description: bacterial SSU rRNA
Rfam family: Archaeal small subunit ribosomal RNA
Source: RNAcentral